AGUCAUAAAAAUAAUUAACCGUUAUAAUCUAUGCUUACUGUAUAUGUACAUACUUUUCAUUUAUUAUAAAUAUACUUUUUAUAUUUUUAUAUUUCAUAUUUUUAUGUAUACAUAGAUAUAGGCAUAAAUACAUACAUCUUAAUUCAUAUAUAUGUAGAUAUACGUACUUAUACAUACUUAAAUAUAUUUUUCAUAUUUCAUAAUUCUUAUAUACUUACAUAUAUUUAUGCAUAUUUUACAUCAUAUACAUACUUAUAUAUAUUCUUUAUAUUCUUAAAAAUGCUUUUUGUAUAUUUCACAUAUUUUAUAAUUCACAUACAUAUAUUUCAUAUUAUCACGAUUUGUAAAUAUAUAUAAACACAUAUUUACAUUUUUAUUUUUAUAAUACUUACCGAUUUUUUAUAUAUGUAUAUAUUUAUCUAUGUUUUCAUAUUCUAUAAUUUAUAUGCAUUUCUUAUUUUAUGGCUUAAAAUUAUACAUGCAUAUACAUUUUUACAUAAUUGUAUUUAUUGUCAUCAUUGUUAUUUGGUGUUUGUUUAUUUAUUCAUGUACACUUGUGCUUUUUCUAAAAUGUUAGUUCUAUUUAUUUAUUUGUAUGCUUUGUAAUCGCCUCGUCAUUUCAUUUUGCCUAUUGUACUGUUGCUACUCAUUUUACUUUGUUCACCUUGUCGUAGUUGUUAUUGUCUUGUCAAGCAUUGACACUAAACAUCAAAAAGAAAAAUUUUUCUAAAUGAGGCAAUAUUUCGCGUUUGGAAAAUCGAGAAAAUGUGCCCUAACGUGCUGGGUUUCGAUUUCUCGUUCGACUAAAUAGCCAAAUAUCCUCUUAAAGCUUCAAAGUAUGGCUUUAAUAAACUAUAAGGUGAUCUUGGUUUCGAUGGUAUAGAGUAUCGUGUCCUAACGUGCUGAAUGUGAUAUUC
RNAcentral lists this long non-coding RNA (917 nucleotides) under Gossypium barbadense (sea-island cotton). RNAcentral describes it as "long non-coding RNA (GBAR_LNC004744)". The record is from RNAcentral. Lineage: Eukaryota; Viridiplantae; Streptophyta; Magnoliopsida; Malvales; Malvaceae.